Non-coding RNA from Odocoileus virginianus texanus, 4326 nucleotides. Lineage: Eukaryota; Metazoa; Chordata; Mammalia; Artiodactyla; Cervidae. The record is from RefSeq and is a predicted model, not a curated record.
AGACAAAGGGUUGGCAGCAGUGGGUGUGUGAAGCAUGCUGGGAAGCCAUUGGAGGGAAUUAGCAAAGAAUUCUAAUUCUUCGAUUCUAAUUCUUUGGGUCAUCUGAGGACGCCAGUGCCCCCUGCUGGGAGGGAGCAAGAGAUGUUACCAGACACAUUAAGAAAUGAGAUACAUGAGGGUUCAAGGUGAAGGUUGGGUGUGGAAAUGGCUAACCCACAGUCAGAAUGUUGCUGAACGCCCUGGACUGCCUUCAGAAUCAUCCCAGUGGUAUGAUUCAUUCCAUCACCUAAAACCUGGUGACAGUGGGCCACACAGAGUCUUACUGGUGAAAACCAUUAACUGAAGAUGUCGAGCAAGACAGCCAGCACCAACAACAUUGCCCAGGCACGAAGGACUGUGCAGCAGCUGAGAAUGGAAGCCUCCAUCGAAAGAAUAAAGGUUUCAAAGGCAUCAGCGGACCUCAUGUCCUACUGUGAGGAACAUGCCAGGAAUGACCCCCUGCUGAUGGGGAUACCAACUUCAGAAAACCCCUUCAAGGAUAAGAAGACCUGCACCAUCUUAUAGAGAAGUAGUGAAGCGGAUCCUCCCCUCUUCUCAACAAAGCAAAUGAUGAGCAGCUCCGUGAAAAGAUUUACCUUCAGCUUAUUUGGUAACCACUGCUAAUAACUAAAAUGCUCUUAACUUGGAAUUAUGGACUCUGAAGUCUUUACCUUCCAAGUUUUUCUUUCUCUAAAAUGCCUUUUACUCAAUUAAUACAGAAUAAUAAUCUUGUUUUCCAUUUGUUAACUACAGUGUCCUAUUAGUUACUGCUGAAGGAAAGUUGGUCUAGCCUUUAAAAAGAAAACAAAUAUAUCAGUGAUCCAGUUAAAACCUAAAUUACCUAAGCAGUCAUCUAGAUUAAAAUGCCAAGGAUAACUGGUCCUAAAAUUUUUGUCAUAGUCUAUUAAUAGAGUUUUGCCAAUCUGUACAGUAUAUGUGGGUGAGAAGUGUUUUGUGUAUAUAUAUGUGUGUGUUUGUAUAUACACAUCUCAAAGCUUAUUUCCCAAUUAAAAUGUCUCUCCCUCCAUACUAUCAGUUCAACUCCAGAAGUUAUAUCUUUAUCUCAAAGCUGUGUGUAGGUAGAAUCCUUUUCUUGUAGUUAUUGUACAAAAAGAGCACCUUACAGCCUGUAUUCAUCGUAGUUGAGUAAUGAAGUCAUCUCUCUCCUCUUGAAACCGUGCUGACCUGCCAAUCAAAAUUUUUAAACUGAACUAAAAGCCCUUUUAUAAUAUGAGCAUCCUUUCACCAAGCGAUUUCAGGUUUCAGUGAUCCUGAGUCUAUCUAGGAAAGGGGAGGUGGCCCUUGGGGGCACCCUGGGCAGUGUGCCCCAGGGCUCAUGGCCUCUGGGUCAGGGGUAGACACCUGAAGUUCCUACUCUAACGAUGGGAACUAGACAGAGCAGCCAUGACCAUGAGCCCGGCCAAGAGAGGAGCAGGAAUGCGUGAAAACCAGCUCCUCUUUGUGGCCUAACUUUGUGAUUUAGCUCGCUUUGUCUGCCUUCCCUCUUAUCUUUCCUCUGCAGCCAGAUCAUGUCUUCAGAGUUAAUGUCCACCUCCCCAACCCCACCUGGGUAGAUCAUGGUGGGAAAGAAACCCACAAAGAAUGUAAAGGUAUCGGACACAUAAGCUCUUUUCAAGUAUCUGCAGCAUCCGCGUCAUCCCUACCUGGUCCUCACACCAUCAGAGGGGCUUGUUUCACUCCUUGGGCUCACAGUUCCUUGAUUUUCCUCUGGGCCUGGAUAUGCCUGCCACACAUGCUCAGAAUGGCUAUGGGGAUCCCCAAAGAAGGUUGUCUCCUGUGGCAGAAGGCAUAUUGUUAACUAAGAGGAGGAGAGGGUAUUUCUAAACACUUAAUUAUGGGCCCAAACCGUGCACCAGACCUUUAAUAUUUUAAUUCAGUUUCCAUUCAUUAAAAAUUACUCAUGAAAAGUUAAAAGUAUUCUCAAAAAGGAUUCAACCCUGAGAAGGAAUUAUUUACAAUGGUUUUCCCUAUUUCUGUACAGUCUUGCCCUGCAGUGCAAGCCCAUUUUUAAAUCCAACACCUGAGCUCUGAGUAUUGUGUUAGUUGUGGGUGAACAAAUACAGUACUGUUUUCAGACUGCUCGAAUCUAUUCCAUAUUUCUGCAAGUCACCUAUCCAGCAUUGUGAACUGCCCUCACUCUUCCAGGAUCAUGUGGAAAUCCUGCCACUGCCCUUCUCUUCUUACCAUCUACACUUGGUUCUGCAAAGGGCCCAGUUUCCAAGUACAUUAUAGGCACCUGUUGGUGGAGAAAGGUUUUUCCUUUCAAAAGGUGAAAUUUGAAAUAUACAUUAAGAAGACAACUUUACAUGUACUGCUUCACUUAAUGAGACAUUCUUUUUUUUCUUAAUAAGUAUUUUUCUACUGAUAGUUUCAGAACACUAAUCUUAUUUUCACUCUGAUUUUUACCAUGUUUCUUUAAAUAUUUAUAAUGUAGCUUGUUACAAAAUAUUUUCAUGAAAUUACUUUUAUUAUACUGUUAUAUACACAUUUUUGGUAGCAAGCAUAGUUUAUUCUUUAGUACUAAAACAUGUUCUUUUCCCUAUUAGAAAACAAGUAUGGUUUGCUAUAUAUUUGUUAAUAUGCUUGUAGUGGUAAGGAAUGGACUUGAGGUCCCAGGAGAUUUUUUUUUUUUUUUUUUUUGCUAGCCAGAUAUCAUAAAGGCUACAAGUAUGAACAUCAUCUAACUUCCUAACCAGGUGUAGGGCAUGUUUAAGAAAAGUGAUAUCAAGUCCUUUGAUGCUGGACCCAAGGGGGAAAAAAUUGUAGCUAAGUGUUGAUUUACUUAUUAUGAGACGUCUAUGUGAGAAAAAUAUAAUAUAUGUAUACAUAUAUAUGAUAUGCAGAAGUCACUUUUAUUUAUCAGGCUUUAUUCUACUAGUAAAGCCACAGUUUAACUAUUAGACAGCAGCUGGUUUAUAAUGAUGGACAAAUGCCCAAUGUGUGUUAUUUUUUCCAAACUACCACUAUAAUGACACAAUCACUUAUAUACAUGCAACUUCCUGGCUUCAUAUCUAUGAGGCUAUUUAAAUAUGUUCACUAUACUUUGUCUUUAAUUCUGCUUCUAUUAACAGUGAUCUCUUUUUCCAUUCUUGAUUCUUUAGUUCAUCAUUAAUCUGUCCAAUUGACGCCUCAGGACCAUGGCAAGAAUUUUCAUGACUCCAAAGUAUUUUACAGACACACACUUUUUUUUUUAACAGAGAGAAACACUUUCUAUACCACGUGGUUCACAAGCUGUAGGUUUUUUCUAAAAAGAAUCAAGUUUUUACAUUUCCUUAUUAUUAAAAUGAAAAGUGCCAUACUUACCCCGUAAAGCAAAGACUGAAUUUGCUUUCUCUCUACCUAUUUUUAAACUUUACUAAUCUUUCAACUAUCCAAAAAAAAAAGUAUACCAAUGAUUUAGUAAUUUUGAGGCAUAAGUUAGUUUAGGUAGUGGAAGAUGUGCCAAACUUUCCCUCCAGAUGUCUUUGUCUCAAUUUGCCACUAAGAUAGUGUCAUCUGAGUGAUUACUCUGAAUUUUAAGAGCUAUAUAGGUCUAAGAAGUGAAUCACAGUACAUGUCAGUCCUUUCUCAAUAAAUGUAAUACCAGAGUGUGUUAUGACUGUAUUGACUUUUUAUGGUAGAUCUGUUAAUAGAAGAAAAAAGAAAUACAUUGAAUUAAGUAGAGUUAUCUGUAUGUUAAAAUAGAGCACUUACCUAGAGCUGGGUGUCCUGGAUCGCUGUCUAGCCAAUCCUGUGUUCCUGUGUUGUGUGACUUUGGACAAGGCACUCCAUCUCUCUGAGCCUGCAUUUCACCAUCUGUAAAAUAAGGGGCUUGAAGUAGCUGAUGGCUGAUACCCUCCUGUUCCGUCCAGUGGCCUACCCCUCUACUGGUCCUGCCAACAUGUUGGUGCUAUACGCUGCUUCAAAAUAAAAUCGGUUUGUCUAUUGUGUGUGCUCAUUUAAUAGCUUAUGAAAGGCCUUUUUGUUAUAUGGCUUUUUUUUUCUAGUUUUAUGAACUUGAUUACAGUAAUAAAGUCUUGUUUGUAGCCAUGUAACUAUAAACUUAUUCUCUUGAUGUCUCAGUAAAUUUGCAUUUGAUAUAUUAGUUGAUGGGAUUGUUGUUUUAGGACAUUCUUUGACUACUUAUCUGUCCAGCAUCUUAUUAACCUAAAUAUUGUGAUCGUUGUUUGGAAAUCUGUUCUCUGGAAAGAAUAAAAGCAUUUACUUCACAGCUAAUGUGUUUGCAGAUUUGAAAAACAGUUUCAUUAAAGCACCAUUGCUCUCUUU